This 234-nucleotide long non-coding RNA is filed under the name Elaeis guineensis (African oil palm). RNAcentral's name for it is "long non-coding RNA (EGUI_LNC010442)". The record is from RNAcentral. Lineage: Eukaryota; Viridiplantae; Streptophyta; Magnoliopsida; Arecales; Arecaceae.
UACCUCAACCAUCUUCCCAUAUUGCUUCUUAACCUCAGUAUUCAAGCACUUAAGAUUUUUUUUUUUGAGAAUAUAGACAUACCCAUAUUAAGAAAAGUCAUCAAUAAUAGUAAUAAAAAAUCUAUUAUCAUAAAUAGAAAGACUUAGGGGUCUACUUAUGUUGGUUUGAAUGAGUUCUAAAGGUCCAUUACUACCUGUGGACUCCUUACUUUUAGUUUUGAUAAAAUUGCCACU